Long non-coding RNA from Gadus morhua (Atlantic cod), 3709 nucleotides. The record is from Ensembl. NCBI's taxonomy places the organism in Eukaryota, Metazoa, Chordata, Actinopteri, Gadiformes, Gadidae.
CCAUACAAUUUUCAAAUGAACCAAAACGUCACUCUGUAUGCAUUCAUCAAGAUCUUUCAUAAAGUUUUGAGCCCCUUACACCAACCAUGCUUUCUGUACUCCAAAAUGUUACAGUGCCAUCAGAUUCGAGUCAGCUGGAAAGAUCUGAACAGCACAGUAGCCAAACUGCGGCAAUUGUUUUUAUUUUAUUUUAAAUGUUAAGCAUACUUAAAAUAUAUACUCGGAUUCAAUUGACUGUGAAAUGUAUAAAAGUAUAAAAUAUAAUUGCUUAAUGGACAUGUAGUUGAGAUUAUACGAGAUAAUGCCGCUUUUCCACUGCAUGGUACCAGCUCGACACGACUCGACUCGACUCAGCUCGCAUUUUUUGCGUUUCCACCGCGAAAACAUGGUAUCUGGUACCUGAAGUGGCUGCUUUUUCUAGUACCGCCUCGCUCUAGGUUCCAAGCGGCUGAGCCGAUGCUAAAAGGUGACGUCGGCACUCGGCAGACGGCCGGCCACUGAUUGGCCAGAGAGUGUGACGAAGUCACGAGAGCGACAUGGCAAACAUGCUGGUAACAGCAAUAGCAGCGCCGCAGCCAACAUAUUCCACUUCUUCAACUUCUUCAACAUGCCAGCUAAUAAUAGUAAUGUUAUCGAUGUCCUCCAUUGUUGUUAUGUGGGUUCUCUCCAUGUGUGGGUUGCGUAGGUGUUGUUUGCGUCGUGUACAAAAAUACGUCACGGCCCUUUCGCGCAGCCGACCCCGCCCACGUCCAGGAGCUGUAGUGUGCUGCAGUGAUGGGUCUGACUUUGAGUCAGACACAGUACACCAGCCUACUAAAAGAGUAGCAGCUCAAGGUUCUUCAGUAGCUCCAACAGCUAUUUCAUCUUUGAAGCGCAGCAAACAAUAAAACGUUGUCUGGAAGCGAAAGCUGGAGAAUGCGAAAGAAAAAAUAAAGUCAUUAGAGAAUGAAAGGGACUUCUUAAGGAACCAACUGUCUGAGGGUAAUCGAUAAUGAAAAAUUAUUUAAAUAAACAGUAUUAGGAUUUAUUGGCAUCUGAUGGAUUUAAGGCAAAAAAACACACAACAACCCCUACAGAUUUUCUCAUUCUCAUCUCAAUUGCUUGCAGAGCCCACAUGUCUUUGCUGAAGUAAACAAUUGCAUCACAUUAACAGUCAUUUGGCAUCAAAACAUUUCAAUAACCAUACCAUAUAAGACAGGCACCACCAAAUGGCGGGCCUGGGCCGGACCCAGACACCACACCAUCCUUCAGUCCCGAUCAAAAACCCUGAGAGGACAGGCUACUGCCUACUUCUCUCACUGAACAAGAAGAGACAGUGGAGGGGUGGGAUUGAGGAGGAAAAACGUUAAAUGUGUUCAGGUUGUUUAUUGGGGGCCAAGCAUUGAAUUUGUAUCCCUUCUUAUUUAACCCUAACCCUCUUUUUUUAUUCAACCAUUGAAGUCCAUGGGAGCCCAUAGAACUGUAUGUUGAAAAGUAAUGAAAUUUGGUACACUGGUAGACGGUUGUGCAAGGAGGCCAUGGCGUGAAUUUCAUGUUGAUUGGCCAAAAGGUAGCACUUUAGCUAACAGGAGGAGGCAGUAUAUGAUGCCAAAGGUGUGCUGCAGAGACCUCAUUGUUUACUGUACAUUGUAUGGCCUGAACAGCCAGGAACUCGCAGAUCUUUUCAUCCAUUAUUAUUAAUUAUGCACUUUGAUACAUUUGGGCAUAAUGUAAAAUACUUUUAAGUUUCACUUUUGACUUGUGAUGGCAGCUAACAAGUGAUGGUCACAGCUAAGGGCUGCAUGGCAGUUUAGAAAAAAUAGAUUUUUGUCUUGCAGCCUCUAUUUUCAUUAAGGUGGAAGCAUCUGAUUGUGUCUUUUCUAUGCCAUACCAAAAAUCGAAUCACUCUACCCUAAAGUGGGGGAGCCCAGGUGUACAUUUAAGUAUAAGUAUAACGCUAGAAUGAUUGGGAGUGAGUGAUAAUUUCACACCCCUAUUGGUAACACUAGUAACGUGCUUAUCGGGUUGCGUCUUGCUUAUUUCAGCUUUGGCGCUUGCAAAUAAAGAGGACCAAGUGACAGCAGCGCCCUCCUUGCACGAAAAGAGUAUUGAAAAAUCCUCUUCAUCUUCCUCCUCCACCUCCUCCUCAUCCUCCUCCGACAGUUCCUCCUCUUCCUCAUCAUCUUCUUCAGAAAGAGGGAAGAAGAAGAAGAAGAAGAAGAAGAAGAAGAAGAAGAAGAAGAAGAAGAGCAACAACAAAAAAGACAGCAAGAAAAAAAAAGGGAAGAAAGGAAACAAAAAGAACACCAAGAUAGGAAAGAGAGGUACGUUGGCAACCAGGGGAUAAGGCGGAGUACAUCUGUGGUGUACUACAGUUAUCACCUUUGAAAUGCCUAACCCAGUCUUUGUUCCAACUUCCAACAAAUAUUACUGACCACUGUAUAUAAAGGAAAAGCCUGCCUACAAAUGCUAUGUUAUGGAUCAAUCAGCUGGUUGAUCAGCUGGUCCCAAGUCUGCUUAUAAUAUCAAAGCCACGUCUGAACAUGGCUUUCAAAUAACACUUAACGAUAUAAUUGACUUAUUCUACCACUUAUCUAAACUAUACAGUGCUUCCACUUUACUCUCUAAUUGUGCUCAUUUGAUUUAUAAUAACCUAUUGUUAAGAGUACAGAUAAUACUACUCGAAUAAACAGUACACUCACAGAACUCUUGAUACUACUGGAAAUUUAAUAAUAAUUAUUAUUAUACCUCUGUACACUAUAUAACACUAAUACAAGAAUAGUAUUAAUACUAGUAAACCCCUAACCAACUGCACCAUCAUCCUGACAAAAUACUACUGUUAAUUACAGUUAACACAUGUUUAUAUUUUCUUUGUUUCAGUCCUCACCCCAGAAGAGUCCAUGGAUCGCUACAGGCGCGUCUUUGUAGCAGUGAAAAAGGGCAUGACAAAAACUGAGGCACACGUCAAAGUCGGGGUUGACCGAAAAACGGUGGCAGCAACGGCCGCCAUUUCGGAGCUACAGGCUGUUGACAAGGACCUGUAUGACCAGCUGAGGGCAUCAAUGCCCAAGGGAGAGACACUUUAUCUUUUUUCGGCAAAAUGUAAUCUAGAAAUACUUGGCAGGAACCUUCAGGAUAAGGUGAAUGAAAAAAAAAGCAACGGGGAACUUUUGCAAAUUGGACACCGGGCAUAGUAAAGAAGAGAGCAGGUUUUUGUUUUGUUUUUAGGGUGCCUUUUUUUUGUUCCAUUUUAAAAUGCCCUUUUUUUGGUUGAUUUGUUCAGUGACAUCAAGAAAUGCCUUGUUAAAAGUGCAGCCUUUAUUUUUGUUCCAUUUUAAAAAGCCUUUUUUUGUUUCUGUUUGUGUUUUAAAUUGUUAAUAUUUUCUGUAUUACCCCGUUAUUAUGUUAUUAUUAUGUUAAAAAUGUUUAACUAAAGUGGCUGUAGAUCCCUCAUUGUCAUCAACAGUGGUUUGGCGUUUUAUAACUAACCCUAAAGUGCUUCACUACUGGUAAACGAAUGAUUCAAAAAGCUUCACUACUGGUAAACGAAUGGUUGAAAAAGCUUAACUACUGGUGAACAAAUGGUUCGCGAAAGAGUAACAACUCAGUAUGAUGCAUUACUUUACAUGAAGGUACACAAAAAGCUUCACUACUGGUAAACGAAUGAUUAAAAAAGCUUCGCUACUGGUAAACGAAUGGUUGAAAAAGCUUAACUACUGGUGAACGAAUG